Molecule: ribosomal RNA, 253 nt
Filed under: uncultured bacterium
Lineage: Bacteria
Description: partial 16S ribosomal RNA
Rfam family: Bacterial small subunit ribosomal RNA
Source: RNAcentral
UACGGAGGGUGCAAGCGUUGCUCGGAUUUACUGGGCAUAAAGAGCUCGUAGGCGGUUUGGUAAGUCUGAUGUGAAAGCCCUGGACUCAAUCCAGGAAGUGCAUUGGAUACUGCUAGACUAGAGUGCAGGAGAGGUGAGCGGAAUUCCAGGUGUAGAGGUGAAAUUCGUAGAUAUCUGGAGGAACAACGGAGGCGAAGGCGGCUCACUGGACUGAUACUGACGCUGAGGAGCGAAAGUGUGGGUAGCGAACAGG